RNAcentral lists this ribosomal RNA (259 nucleotides) under uncultured bacterium. Its description in RNAcentral is "partial 16S ribosomal RNA". It matches the Rfam family "Bacterial small subunit ribosomal RNA", at positions 421 to 694 of the family's 1533-position model. The record is from RNAcentral.
GAUUGUAAACUUCUUUUAUCAGGGACGAAGGAAGUGACGGUACCUGAUGAAUAAGCCACGGCUAACUACGUGCCAGCAGCCGCGGUAAUACGUAGGUGGCGAGCGUUAUCCGGAUUUACUGGGUGUAAAGGGCGCGUAGGCGGGAAUGCAAGUCAGAUGUGAAAUCUAUGGGCUUAACCCAUAAACUGCAUUUGAAACUGCAUUUCUUGAGUGUCGGAGAGGUAGACGGAAUUCCUAGUGUAGCGGUGAAAUGCGUAGA